GAUGAACGCUGGCGGCGCGCCUAAUACAUGCAAGUCGAGCGAACAGACGAGGAGCUUGCUCCUCUGACGUUAGCGGCGGACGGGUGAGUAACACGUGGAUAACCUACCUAUAAGACUGGGAUAACUUCGGGAAACCGGAGCUAAUACCGGAUAAUAUAUUGAACCGCAUGGUUCAAUAGUGAAAGACGGUUUUGCUGUCACUUAUAGAUGGAUCCGCGCCGCAUUAGCUAGUUGGUAAGGUAACGGCUUACCAAGGCAACGAUGCGUAGCCGACCUGAGAGGGUGAUCGGCCACACUGGAACUGAGACACGGUCCAGACUCCUAAGGGAGGCAGCAGUAGGGAAUCUUCCGCAAUGGGCGAAAGCCUGACGGAGCAACGCCGCGUGAGUGAUGAAGGUCUUCGGAUCGUAAAACUCUGUUAUUAGGGAAGAACAAAUGUGUUAGUAACUAUGCACGUCUUGACGGUACCUAAUCAGAAAGCCACGGCUAACUACGUG
This 497-nucleotide ribosomal RNA is filed under the name uncultured bacterium. Its description in RNAcentral is "partial 16S ribosomal RNA". It matches the Rfam family "Bacterial small subunit ribosomal RNA", at positions 28 to 507 of the family's 1533-position model. The record is from RNAcentral.